This 207-nucleotide ribosomal RNA is filed under the name uncultured bacterium. Its description in RNAcentral is "partial 16S ribosomal RNA". It matches the Rfam family "Bacterial small subunit ribosomal RNA", at positions 568 to 774 of the family's 1533-position model. The record is from RNAcentral.
UGCGUAGGCGGCCGCUUAAGUAGGAUGUGAAAUCUCCCGGCUCAACCGGGGAACUGCGUUCUAAACUGGGUGGCUUGAGUGAGAUAGAGGUGUGCGGAACUUCCGGUGGAGCGGUGAAAUGUGUUGAUAUCGGAGGGAACACCAUUGGCGAAAGCGGCACACUGGGUCUCAACUGACGCUGAGGCACGAAAGCCAGGGGAGCAAACG